GGAAUGAGUAGCGCGAAUGCAGUGAGAAUCUGCAUGGCCGAAAGCCUCAGGUUUCUGGAGGAAGGUUCGUCCGCUCCAGGUUAGUCGGGAGCUAAGGUGAGGCCUAACGGCGUAGCCGAUGCACAGACGGUAGAGAUUCCGUCACCACCAAAAGAGUUAAACACAGGGACACAUUUGAAGUCUCGGAGCCGGGUGUUGGUUCCGGUAGCGAUCGAGGGAAAUUAGUACCGAAGUCCGGGAUGGAAGAUGGCGAGAAAAGCUGUGUGUAUUUCUGCGGUGCCCGUACCGCAAACCGACACAGGUAGGUAGGAAGAAGAUUCUAAGGCCAACGGGAGAAGGGUUGUUAAGGAACUCGGCAAAUUGACCCCGUAACUUCGGGAGAAGGGGUGCUCCAGAGAUGGAGCCGCAGAGAAUCGGCCCAAGCAACUGUUUACCAAAAACACAGGUUUGUGCUAAAUCGAAAGAUGACGUAUACGAGCUGACGCCUGCCCGGUGCUGGAAGGUUAAGAGGAGAUGUGCAAGCAUUGAAUCGAAGCCCCAGUGAACGGCGGCCGUAACUAUAACGGUCCUAAGGUAGCGAAAUUCCUUGUCAGGUAAGUUCUGACCCGCAUGAAAGGCGUAAUGAUUUGGGCACUGUCUCAACAGCCCGCCCGGCGAAAUUGUAGUACCGGUGAAGAUGCCGGUUACCCGCGACAAGACGGAAAGACCCCAUGGAGCUUUACUGUAGCCUAAUAUUGGGUUUCGAUGUUGCAUGCACAGGAUAGAUGGGACACAGGGAAACAAGUGCUUUGGCAUUUGUGGAGUGGCCGUUGGGAUACCAUCCUUGCGAUAUUGGAAUUCUAACCUGCGCCUUUGAAUCAAGGCGGGGGACAUUGUUAGGUGGGCAGUUUGACUGGGGCGGUCGCCUCCUAAAGAGUAACGGAGGCGUUCAAAGGUUCGCUCAGCUUGAACGGAAAUCAAGCAAAAGAGUGCAAACGCAGAAGCGAGCCUAACUGCGAGACUGACGGGUCGAGCAGUAACGAAAGUUGGAGUUAGUGAUCCGGUGGUAUGUGAGUGGAAAUGCCAUCGCUCAACGGAUAAAAGCUACCCUGGGGAUAACAGGCUGAUCUCCCCCAAGAGUCCACAUCGACGGGGAGGUUUGGCACCUCGAUGUCGGCUCAUCGCAUCCUGGGGCUGUAUUCGGUCCCAAGGGUUUGGCUGUUCGCCAAUUAAAGCGGUACGCGAGCUGGGUUCAGAACGUCGUGAGACAGUUCGGUCCCUAUCUGUCGUGGGCGCAGGAUAUUUGAUGGGAGCUGUCCCUAGUACGAGAGGACCGGGACGGACGUACCUCUGGCGCACCAGUUGUUCCGCCAGGAGCAUAGCUGGGCAACUACGUACGGAUCGGAUAAACGCUGAAAGCAUCUAAGCGUGAAGCCGACCCAAAGAUAAGAUAUCCCAUUGUUUCAAACAAGUAAGACCCCUUGAAGACUACAAGGUUGAUAGGCACGAUGUGUAAGUGGAGUGAUCCAUUCAGCAAGCGUGUACUAAUAGGUCGAGGGCUUGACCA
Molecule: ribosomal RNA, 1546 nt
Filed under: human gut metagenome
Description: bacterial LSU rRNA
Rfam family: Bacterial large subunit ribosomal RNA
Source: RNAcentral